RNAcentral lists this ribosomal RNA (1453 nucleotides) under Staphylococcus aureus. RNAcentral's name for it is "partial 23S ribosomal RNA". It matches the Rfam family "Bacterial large subunit ribosomal RNA", at positions 1472 to 2925 of the family's 2925-position model. The record is from RNAcentral. Lineage: Bacteria; Bacillati; Bacillota; Bacilli; Caryophanales; Staphylococcaceae.
ACGCAGUAGGAUAGGCGAAGCGUGCGAUUGGAUUGCACGUCUAAGCAGUAAGGCUGAGUAUUAGGCAAAUCCGGUACUCAUUAAGGCUGAGCUGUGAUGGGGAGAAGACAUUGUGUCUUCGAGUCGUUGAUUUCACACUGCCGAGAAAAGCCUCUAGAUAGAAAAUAGGUGCCCGUACCGCAAACCGACACAGGUAGUCAAGAUGAGAAUUCUAAGGUGAGCGAGCGAACUCUCGUUAAGGAACUCGGCAAAAUGACCCCGUAAUUUCGGGAGAAGGGGUGCUCUUUAGGGUUAACGCCCAGAAGAGCCGCAGUGAAUAGGCCCAAGCGACUGUUUAUCAAAAACACAGGUCUCUGCUAAACCGUAAGGUGAUGUAUAGGGGCUGACGCCUGCCCGGUGCUGGAAGGUUAAGAGGAGUGGUUAGCUUCUGCGAAGCUACGAAUCGAAGCCCCAGUAAACGGCGGCCGUAACUAUAACGGUCCUAAGGUAGCGAAAUUCCUUGUCGGGUAAGUUCCGACCCGCACGAAAGGCGUAACGAUUUGGGCACUGUCUCAACGAGAGACUCGGUGAAAUCAUAGUACCUGUGAAGAUGCAGGUUACCCGCGACAGGACGGAAAGACCCCGUGGAGCUUUACUGUAGCCUGAUAUUGAAAUUCGGCACAGCUUGUACAGGAUAGGUAGGAGCCUUUGAAACGUGAGCGCUAGCUUACGUGGAGGCGCUGGUGGGAUACUACCCUAGCUGUGUUGGCUUUCUAACCCGCACCACUUAUCGUGGUGGGAGACAGUGUCAGGCGGGCAGUUUGACUGGGGCGGUCGCCUCCUAAAAGGUAACGGAGGCGCUCAAAGGUUCCCUCAGAAUGGUUGGAAAUCAUUCAUAGAGUGUAAAGGCAUAAGGGAGCUUGACUGCGAGACCUACAAGUCGAGCAGGGUCGAAAGACGGACUUAGUGAUCCGGUGGUUCCGCAUGGAAGGGCCAUCGCUCAACGGAUAAAAGCUACCCCGGGGAUAACAGGCUUAUCUCCCCCAAGAGUUCACAUCGACGGGGAGGUUUGGCACCUCGAUGUCGGCUCAUCGCAUCCUGGGGCUGUAGUCGGUCCCAAGGGUUGGGCUGUUCGCCCAUUAAAGCGGUACGCGAGCUGGGUUCAGAACGUCGUGAGACAGUUCGGUCCCUAUCCGUCGUGGGCGUAGGAAAUUUGAGAGGAGCUGUCCUUAGUACGAGAGGACCGGGAUGGACAUACCUCUGGUGUACCAGUUGUCGUGCCAACGGCAUAGCUGGGUAGCUAUGUGUGGACGGGAUAAGUGCUGAAAGCAUCUAAGCAUGAAGCCCCCCUCAAGAUGAGAUUUCCCAACUUCGGUUAUAAGAUCCCUCAAAGAUGAUGAGGUUAAUAGGUUCGAGGUGGAAGCAUGGUGACAUGUGGAGCUGACGAAUACUAAUCGAUCGAAGACUUAAUCAA